AUGGAUGAUCCCAUGGGUAGUGAUCCCAACCGGUUAAAUUUCGAUACUAGUGAUCUAGAUGUGGACAUCCCCGAGUGGAUGGAUCCUACAGCCCACAAUACCACCACAUACCCCUCUUCCGACGAGUAUGUAGCGUCCGACAGCCAAUCCACUACCCAGUCUAGUACCUCCACCUCCAUCGGCACAAAGAGGGUUCGGCGCAAAACCUCAGCAUGCUGGGACCAUUUCAAAGAAGAAAUAGUCGUGGAGGACGGCGUCAACGUGUUGAAAGCUCGGUGCAAGAGAUGCGCCCGCUUGCUUUCCACGGGGGGGCAAGGAGGAACCGGCCACCUCAACAGGCACAUCCUCAAGCACGAGAAAGCGGACAAGCAGUCUGCGGGGACACAGGCCACGCUCAAAUUCAACCCAGACGGUACGCGGCCUCCACCAGCACCAACUGGAAAAAAGAAAGGAGCGUGGAGCAAGUUAUUUGGUUCUUCCACCUCUGCCCCGAGCUCUUCCACAUCAGGACCAUCGCCUGUGCUUUUAGGUGGUGGGGAGUUAGCGAAGUACCUCAACAGCGACAAAGUCAGCUUCAAUGAAGAUGAGGACGACGACUUUGACAUAAUUCAGUGGUGGCAUGAACACAAGGUUACAUAUCCGGUGCUUUCCAUAUUAGCACGGGAUGUGUUAUCAGUACCUGUCUCAUCUACAUCAUCAGAGUCUGCUUUCAGUCUAGCUGGAAGAAUACUUGAGGAAAGAAGGACGAGUCUCACCCCGGAUAUGGUGAGAACGCUCAUGACCGUGAAAGACGGAGAACUAGCCAGAAGAAGAGGCCAACACACUGCGGAAAACAACGAACUGAUGGCCACGUUCGAAGAUCUUGCACUCGAAGACGAAGAGAACGAAGAGUAG
This 894-nucleotide ribosomal RNA is filed under the name Triticum aestivum (bread wheat). RNAcentral's name for it is "partial small subunit ribosomal RNA". Lineage: Eukaryota; Viridiplantae; Streptophyta; Magnoliopsida; Poales; Poaceae. The record is from RNAcentral.